GCAGUGGUGGUUCAGUGAUAGAAUUCUCACCUUCUAUGUGGGAGACUCAGGUUCAAUCCCAGCCAGUGCC
RNAcentral lists this transfer RNA (70 nucleotides) under Loxodonta africana (African savanna elephant). It matches the Rfam family "tRNA". From Rfam's summary of the family: Transfer RNA (tRNA) molecules are approximately 80 nucleotides in length. The record is from Rfam by way of RNAcentral. Lineage: Eukaryota; Metazoa; Chordata; Mammalia; Proboscidea; Elephantidae.